GCUUGUCUCAAAGAUUAAGCCAUGCAUGUCUAAGUAUAAACUGCUUAUACUGUGAAACUGCGAAUGGCUCAUUAAAUCAGUUAUAGUUUAUUUGAUGGUACUUUCUACUCGGAAUAACCGUAGUAAUUCUAGAGCUAAUACAUGCACAAAUUCCCGUCAGGGAUGUAUUUAUUAGAUUGAAACCAAUGCGGGGUAACCCGGUGUUUGGUGAUUCAUAAUAACUUUCGGAUCGCAUUUGCGAUGCAUCAUUCAAGUUUCUGCCCUAUCAGCUUUGGAUGGUAGGGUAUUGGCCUACCAUGGCAUUAACGGGUAACGGAGGAUUUGGGUUCGAUUCCGGAGAGGGAGCCUGAGAAAUGGCUACCACAUCCAAGGAAGGCAGCAGG
This 383-nucleotide ribosomal RNA is filed under the name uncultured Chrysophyceae. Its description in RNAcentral is "partial small subunit ribosomal RNA". It matches the Rfam family "Eukaryotic small subunit ribosomal RNA", at positions 30 to 432 of the family's 1831-position model. Lineage: Eukaryota; Chrysophyceae. The record is from RNAcentral.